This 497-nucleotide ribosomal RNA is filed under the name uncultured bacterium. Its description in RNAcentral is "partial 16S ribosomal RNA". It matches the Rfam family "Bacterial small subunit ribosomal RNA", at positions 28 to 507 of the family's 1533-position model. The record is from RNAcentral.
GACGAACGCUGGCGGCGUGCCUAAUACAUGCAAGUAGAACGCUGAAGAGAGGAGCUUGCUCUUCUUGGAUGAGUUGCGAACGGGUGAGUAACGCGUAGGUAACCUGCCUUGUAGCGGGGGAUAACUAUUGGAAACGAUAGCUAAUACCGCAUAACAAUGGAUGACACAUGUCAUUUAUUUGAAGGGGGCAAUUGCUCCACUACAAGAUGGACCUGCGUUGUAUUAGCUAGUAGGUGAGGUAAUGGCUCACCUAGGCGACGAUACAUAGCCGACCUGAGAGGGUGAUCGGCCACACUGGGACUGAGACACGGCCCAGACUCCUACGGGAGGCAGCAGUAGGGAAUCUUCGGCAAUGGGGGCAACCCUGACCGAGCAACGCCGCGUGAGGGAAGAAGGUUUUCGGAUCGUAAAGCUCUGUUGUAAGUCAAGAACGGGUGUGAGAGUGGAAAGUUCACACUGUGACGGUAGCUUACCAGAAAGGGACGGCUAACUACGUG